CCUACGGGGGGCUGCAGUGAGGAAUAUUGGUCAAUGGGCGGGAGGCUGAACCAGCCAAGUCGCGUGAGGGACGACGGUCCUAUGGAUUGUAAACCUCUUUUGUCGGGGAACAAAGGCGCCCACGGGUGGGCGGAUGAGUGUACCCGAAGAAAAAGCAUCGGCUAACUCCGUGCCAGCAGCCGCGGUAAUACGGAGGAUGCGAGCGUUAUCCGGAUUUAUUGGGUUUAAAGGGUGCGUAGGCGGACAGUCAAGUCAGCGGUAAAAUUGGGGUACUCAACGCCGUACAGCCGUUGAAACUGGCAGUCUUGAGUGGGCGAGAAGUAUGCGGAAUGCGUGGUGUAGCGGUGAAAUGCAUAGAUAUCACGCAGAACUCCGAUUGCGAAGGCAGCAUACCGGCGCCCGACUGACGCUGAGGCACGAAAGCGUGGGUAUCGAACAGGAUUAGAUACCCGGGUAGUC
RNAcentral lists this ribosomal RNA (459 nucleotides) under uncultured bacterium. RNAcentral's name for it is "partial 16S ribosomal RNA". It matches the Rfam family "Bacterial small subunit ribosomal RNA", at positions 338 to 795 of the family's 1533-position model. The record is from RNAcentral.